UUGAUUAAGUUUGUAGAAAAAAGUAUUAACAUUUUUAACCCAAGACAAAUAUAUUAUGACAAUAUAUUUAAAUUUACAUAUAAUGAAACUAAUUUGGUGCUAUAAACAUUAAUAUAUUUGUCUACAAGCUUGGUUAA
RNAcentral lists this microRNA precursor (137 nucleotides) under Oryza sativa Indica Group (long-grained rice). RNAcentral's name for it is "mir-166 microRNA precursor". The record is from RNAcentral. Lineage: Eukaryota; Viridiplantae; Streptophyta; Magnoliopsida; Poales; Poaceae.